Molecule: transfer RNA, 31 nt
Filed under: Mertensia arizonica var. subnuda
Lineage: Eukaryota; Viridiplantae; Streptophyta; Magnoliopsida; Boraginales; Boraginaceae
Description: partial tRNA-Leu
Source: RNAcentral
GCCGCUAUGGNGAAAUUGGUAGACACGCUGC